UACGUAGGGGGCAAGCGUUGUCCGGAAUCAUUGGGCGUAAAGAGCGUGUAGGCGGCUAGAUAGGUCCGUUGUGAAAACUCGAGGCUCAACCUCGAGACGUCGAUGGAAACCAUCUGGCUAGAGUCCGGAAGAGGAGAGUGGAAUUCCUGGUGUAGCGGUGGAAUGCGCAGAUAUCAGGAGGAACACCAAUAGCGAAGGCAGCUCGCUGGGACGGUACUGACGCUAAGGCGCGAAAGCGUGGGGAGCGAACAGG
RNAcentral lists this ribosomal RNA (253 nucleotides) under uncultured bacterium. RNAcentral's name for it is "partial 16S ribosomal RNA". It matches the Rfam family "Bacterial small subunit ribosomal RNA", at positions 524 to 776 of the family's 1533-position model. The record is from RNAcentral.